RNAcentral lists this ribosomal RNA (467 nucleotides) under Batrachuperus pinchonii (Western Chinese mountain salamander). Its description in RNAcentral is "partial 16S ribosomal RNA". It matches the Rfam family "Bacterial large subunit ribosomal RNA", at positions 1969 to 2594 of the family's 2925-position model. Lineage: Eukaryota; Metazoa; Chordata; Amphibia; Caudata; Hynobiidae. The record is from RNAcentral.
UUGUCUUUUAAAUAAAGACCAGUAUGAAUGGCAAGACGAAAGUUCAACUGUCUCCCUAAAUUAAUCAAUGAAAUUGAUCUUCCCGUGCAGAAGCGGGAAUAAAAUUAUAAGACGAGAAGACCCUAUGGAGCUUUAAAUAUGUGAUCAACUGUAAUAUAAUUCAAUAUUCAAUAUUAAACAUUAAAUAAAACAUUAUGAUCAAAAUUUUAGGUUGGGGCGACCACGGAGAAAAACAAAACCUCCGAGAUGAAAAGAAUAUCUUAAUUUAUGAACUACAGUUCUAAUAAAUAAAAUAUUUAACAUAAUUGAUCCAAUAUAUUGAUCAACGAACUAAGUUACCCUAGGGAUAACAGCGCAAUCCUUUCCAAGAGUCCCUAUCGACGAAUGGGUUUACGACCUCGAUGUUGGAUCAGGACACCCCAAUGGUGCAGCCGCUAUUAAAGGUUCGUUUGUUCAACGAUUAAAGU